CCUACGGGAGGCAGCAGUAGGGAAUCUUUCACAAUGGGCGAAAGCCUGAUGGAGCAACGCCGCGUGCGGGAUGAAGGCCUUCGGGUUGUAAACUGCUUUUAUAAGCGAGAAAUAUGAGGGUAACUUAUGAAUAAGGAUCGGCUAACUACGUGCCAGCAGCCGCGGUCAUACGUAGGACCCGAGCAUUAUCCGGAGUGUAUGGGUUUAAAGAGUUGCGUAGGUGGCAUAAUAAGUAGCUAGUGGAAUCUGGUGGCUCAACCAUUCAGACUAUUUGGUAAACUGUUAAGCUCGAGAGCGUUAGGGGUAACUGGAAUUUCUAGUGUAGGAGUGAAAUCCGUAGAUAUUAGAAGGAACACCAAUAGCGUAGGCAAGUUACUGGGACGGUUCUGACACUAAGGCACGAAAGCGUAGGGAGCAAACGGGAUUAGAUACCCUUGUAGUC
Molecule: ribosomal RNA, 442 nt
Filed under: uncultured bacterium
Lineage: Bacteria
Description: partial 16S ribosomal RNA
Rfam family: Bacterial small subunit ribosomal RNA
Source: RNAcentral